This 1260-nucleotide long non-coding RNA is filed under the name Naja naja (Indian cobra). RNAcentral's name for it is "lncRNA (ENSNNAG00000001093.1)". The record is from RNAcentral. Lineage: Eukaryota; Metazoa; Chordata; Lepidosauria; Squamata; Elapidae.
AUGGCGGCGGCGGUGGCACCCCGAGGAAUGGUGCGGCGGCCCGAUCAGCUGGCUGACUUUAGGUUCAGCCUUGGAGACACCCUGCAUCUCGAAGAACAGCGCGGCGGUUGUGGCGGCACCUCGAAGAACGGCGCGGCGGGGAGCAUUGAGCUGUGUGCCAGCAAAUUAUGGGGUGUGGAGACCAGCGGAGCGGCUGGCCCCCACCCUGGCCUUGAAAAUGGCGCACUGCGCCCAGAAGAACGGCGUGUUGGGGGAGACGAGGCAAGGAGUGUGGGGACCGGCGGAGGGUGCUGGUUUCCGCUCCGGCGUCUGGCCCCAGCUGGGAUCUUCAUAGCAGAGCCGUUGGUGGCAGCAACGGCGAUGGCGAGGAGAGAGCGGUCUGAGGCUGGUUGCUGUGGGCAUGACCACGGUUGGGGCGGCGGUGCUGCCAUGGAUGCCGCCAAUGGUGGUGUUAGUGGCAGAGGCAGCAAUGGUGGAGGCGGCGGACUGGCUAGCGAUGACUCUGGGCCACGAGGUGGAGAUGGUGUGGCCUCGGGGUUGCUGCCAGGCCUGGCCCCCUUGUCGUCUGCUUUGCUCCGGCUGGACCUUUUAGAUCUGUGUUUGCUGCCCUCCCCCCCCUCCUGCCUCCUUUUUGCCUUGCCUCUUGGGGCUAUUUCUCCCCCCUCCCUUUUUUACACCCGAUGGAGGUUGGUGAGAGGGAUAUGGACGCAUCCCACCCGCUACUGUGUGAGGGUUGCGGACUGGGAUUGCUUGCCCUCCCCCGUAGCUAACCUCUGUUAUCAUCUUGCCACCCGGACGUGCUUGCCUGACAACCCUGCGGUGAGAGCGCGGUGGCUGGCCUGGAUGAGGGCCCUUACCAUCGGCCCACCGGAUUGUGGUGAGACAGCAAUCCUGAUUCAUCUCCUGGGACCAUUUGUCUGCAGCACAGACGUUGGGAUUGGACCGGGUGUUUUAACAUCCUUGAUAUACGGACUUGUUCCACCUUUCGACUCCUCCCUUUAUAUGUGCAAUACAACAACAUAUGGGUCUACUUGUCAACGGACCUGCAGGCCCUACUGGAGGCCCCCCUCUCCCGGGCCUGGCCUGCCGGACUUUCCACAAUGUACCUCGAGGACGGGUCAUGGAACCCAGAGUUGGCACUGCGCUGGUAGGGGUUGGGGUGGGGGUCCUGGGAAGGGUAGAAGGGGGGGUUCCAGGCCUUCAUUAGUUAAAUUCUUGAUUCGAUGUUUAUGUGAGUUAGGGAAGGGGGGGGUCUUAUAA